RNAcentral lists this long non-coding RNA (696 nucleotides) under Macaca nemestrina (pig-tailed macaque). RNAcentral describes it as "lncRNA (ENSMNEG00000045795.1)". The record is from RNAcentral. Lineage: Eukaryota; Metazoa; Chordata; Mammalia; Primates; Cercopithecidae.
CUCCUCUCUUUUCUUUGCUAGCUAUGGUUUCAGCCCCUCAGGCCUGGCAAGUGGGAGCAAGGGGAGAGGCAAAGGGAUGCUUUCUGCGCUGGUUUCAGGCAGGCUCCUUCUCUCGCUGAUACUUCUUUGGGCUCAUCAGAGGCCCCUGCUCCUGAUGGGGAAUGAAAUCUAUUCCUGUAGUUGUCACUCAGUCCUUGGAUCCUGGUUCUCUAGCUGUGCAACCAGAGACCCUGUGUGGAAGCUCCUCUAGGACAGGACUUGAAACUGCUCCAGUCCAUCUCAGUUGGCUCUUUUUUCCCCCUUUCCUCAACAUGGCUGUCAUCGGGUCCCAGAAGACUCUUACAUCCUUUGCCCUGGUAAAUGUGGACAGAGGAGACCAUCUCAGCGCGGCCACCUCCACUCUGCUGCACGGGCCUCUUAAACUUGUUCAACCACUGAGUCUAAAAGAAAGCAGUAGUCUGGCAGAUGUCUUCACAAAUUUUUUUCAACACUUCAGGAAACUUCAGAAUACUGCUCUAUGGGCACACAGUACCAUGAGAGUGGCUGCAACAGCGACCAGGGAGCCGUGGGCCAGUGGAACCCCUCCUUGCCUCUGCCUUCAGGAACGCAAUAACUUCUCCAGGCCCCUAUGUCCUCGUCUCUCAUAAAAUGCCUCUUUCAUAAAAUAUAUUACAAUAUUCAUAAAGAUGUGGAAGC